AAAACAUUUACUAAUUAGCAAAAAAAUCUCCAUUAGAUUGUCCUUUAUAUUAAAAUAACCUAUGCACACUAAACUGAUAAGACUCGAGCGUUUGGUACUUUCAUAUCCGUCUUGUGUAAUAGCAUCCUUUCAAAUCAGACCAUCAAGAAAGGGGAGAAUUAUAGUGUUCUCCCAUUGUGGCACUUGAUACUCACCAUGUGAUCAUUAAAAGAACUUGUUUUCCAUAUGAUAGAAGUGAAUUGCAUCAAAUUAUUUGACGGUAGAUUCAAUAUUGAUUCUACGAUCAUAUACUGAG
RNAcentral lists this long non-coding RNA (295 nucleotides) under Elaeis guineensis (African oil palm). Its description in RNAcentral is "long non-coding RNA (EGUI_LNC017163)". Lineage: Eukaryota; Viridiplantae; Streptophyta; Magnoliopsida; Arecales; Arecaceae. The record is from RNAcentral.